CAAUAGCGUAUAUUUAAGUUGCUGCAGUUAAAAAGCUCGUAGUUGGAUUUCGGGUGGGAAUGGCCGGUCCGCCGUUUCGGUGUGCACUUGCUACGCCCACCUUGCUGCCGGGGACGUGCUCUUGAGUUCACGCUCGGGACACGGAGUCGGCGAGGUUACUUUGAGUAAAUUAGAGUGUUCAAAGCAGGCCUACGCUCUGAAUACAUUAGCAUGGAAUAACACGAUAGGACUCUGGCCUAUCUUGUUGGUCUGUAGGACCGGAGUAAUGAUUAAGAGGGACAGUCGGGGGCAUUCGUAUUUCAUUGUCAGAGGUGAAAUUCUUGGAUUUUUUAAAGACGAACAAUUGCGAAGGCAUCUACCCAGGAUGUUUUUGUUGA
Molecule: ribosomal RNA, 377 nt
Filed under: uncultured eukaryote
Lineage: Eukaryota
Description: partial 18S ribosomal RNA
Rfam family: Eukaryotic small subunit ribosomal RNA
Source: RNAcentral